This is a long non-coding RNA of Sapajus apella (tufted capuchin), 2086 nucleotides long. RefSeq lists it as uncharacterized. The record is from RefSeq and is a predicted model, not a curated record. The transcript is spliced from 2 exons. NCBI's taxonomy places the organism in Eukaryota, Metazoa, Chordata, Mammalia, Primates, Cebidae.
UCCUCUGCUCCCCCCUACAAAGGAAAAAAAAUCAGUAGAAGACAAAUAGAAGAGAUCAUAUGUAGAGUGUUGGGUAAGUUUCAAAUGAAUUGAACAUCAAAAAACUUCAGAUGGAAGUGACUAUAAACUUGCAGCUUUGUCAUGUGCACCUUAACACUUGUAAUUCAUGCAUAUGGACAAAGCUUUGAGAACUCAGAGAUUGAAUCUCAGAGAUUGUUCUCUUUCAGCCACAAAUUGCCUCUACCUUUGUCUUCCUCUUAUAGGCCUCCUUGUUCCUUCUCCAUUUCUUCCUACCAUAAGUUAUGACCGUUAAUUGAGAGGAAAUGCCAGCAUUACCUUCGAGGUAGAAUUUUUGGUCAAAACUUUUCCCAGCUCUUUUUGACCAAUUUUUAUACCCUAUUAUUUCUAUUAAUAAUUUAAGUUGGUGAUCAUUCACUGUAUUUUGCAAAUCCAGUCACUGGAGGGACAAAAUUUAAGAUGCUUACCUAAGUAAGCUCAGUAAAUUCCCCAUUUCAAUCACCUAAUUGUGAGGGGAAUUGUAGUAGAUGCCAGGGCUUGCCCUCUGAGGGGACACCACUCAGCACCUGUGUCCUAGCCUGGUUCUCCUUGUGUCUAGGCCAUCUUGAGCCUCCCUCUGACCCCAGAGCCCACAUUCCAGGAACUGAGCCUACUGCCCGUCAGCAAGUGUGCAUUUUCCUCUUGGGUUGGCUUCUGUGUCCAUCUCAUGAAGACAGGAAACCAGUAGGAUGAGGUUCCUAACAAAUAUAUGAUCCAUCUGGAAAGAAAGAAGAAAUAUCCCUGAAUAUUCAGGCCUAAAUCCACUCCCUAGUCUAUGUCUGACACCCUCAUUAGUCCCUUUCUCUGCUUCCCCUCUCCUCAGCAAACUACUCUCAUGCAGCACAUGUUUAUUGAACACUGUGUACCAAAGAGCUGUGAGCUGUGGCUCGCCCUUUGGGGCAUCAUUCCAGACAGGUUUCAUCACCGUGCUCUCCACAAGUAUCUGCAGCUCCUGUCCUCUCUCUUCCUCUUUCCUCAGGCAUGACAAACCUGGCUAAGCGUCCCCUAGGUUGUUACAAUGACUGUCUGUGGUACAUUUGGAGGGCAAGUAUGUAUGCUAUCAGGGUUUAAAAAAAAAAAAAGCAGGGGUUCUAAAAGAGUGAAUAUUUACCUGAAAUGGAAUUGGAUAGAAGAGAAAUUGGGAAGAAUGCUCUGUUUUGGUAAUAGGAGGUAAUAUUUGUCAUUACCCAACCUUUAUUUGUCAAUAAGUUGCAGGUCCUGAACUAAGCACUUUAUUUGCAGUGCUUGGACCUUACAAAGAUCAGGUGAGAUAUGUACAAUAGUGCUAAGUGGCAUAGGGGUUAAGAAUUCAGGCUCUGAGGUUAAGUCUGAUUCCCCAUUUAGCAGCCAUGUGACCUUGGAUAUCACUUAACCAUGGAGCCUUAGGUCCUCAUCCUUAAAAUGAGAAUACCUUCUAAGAUUGUUGGAAGGAUUGGGAUAAUUGAAAUUAUGAAUAUAAAGCACUUAGUAUUAGAAUAGAAGGGGGUGCUUUAAAAAUAGUCAUGUCCAGGCUCCACCUUGGACCAACUGAAUUAGAAUUUCUGAGGGUAAGGUCUGGCAUUGUUUUGUUUUGUUUUGUUUUUUAACGUUUUCCAGGUGAAUCUAAGGCAGUGAAGGAUGAGAACCCUGAGACAGAGGUUUCUCUGCUGCAUAUGCCAGUGUUUGCCUUCAGCUGUGACUCUGGUUCCUGCUUAGAAUGAGGACAGAGCUAUUAACUGACUACACAGAGGGGGCAGCUUCCAUACACAAAACAUCUUGGUUUAUUUCUAGAACAACCUACCCCAGCAGGGACCAUCCCACUCAUUUUACCAGGAUUUGCCUCAGGUCACACGGUGUGCAGGAUCUGGGACACAGAAGAUAAAUCCUCAGGCUUGUCCAAGAUCAGGAGAAUAAGAAGACUCUCCCCCAGAAAACUGGGAGUCCAAAGGGCCAAAGUAAAGGUGAAUGUGAGAAGAGGAUCCCAGGAAAAAUCGUCUGUCUUGAUCAAAGUCCUGAAUAAACCAGAAUAAAAAAUACUCUUCCUUGAGAA